GCGUCUGGACACAAGCCCUCCUCCAAACCGUCGCGUUCCCUCUCCUCCUCCUCCCUUUCCUCAUCCUCACCGCCAAGAACCGCCGCGACCAACACCCUUCCGACCACUUCCACUACAAAUCCCUCACCGUGAUCUACAUCUGCAUCGGAAUCGUCAUGACGGUCCAAGCUAGGCUCUCCGCCAUGGGAAAGCUCGAGAUCCCCUUCGGCGUUUUCACCCUCAUCUACACGACGCAGCUCUUCUUCACUCCGAUUCUCGCGCGCCUCGUCAACAAGAUCAAGUUCAACCGGUGGGUCGUGAUCUCCUUGGCUCUGGCCAAACGACGCAGCUCUUCUUCACUCCGGUCUUCGCGCGCCUCGUCAACAAGAUCAAGUUCAACCGGUGGGUGGUGAUCUCCUUGGCUCUGGCCAUCGCCACCGGAGCUCUCACGUUAUCCUCGGCCUUCGCCGGGGAGCCCGACGAAGCCGAGGAGAAUUACGCGAGAGGCGCGUGGGCUGCUCUCU
RNAcentral lists this long non-coding RNA (503 nucleotides) under Brassica napus (rape). Its description in RNAcentral is "long non-coding RNA (BNAP_LNC002987)". The record is from RNAcentral. Lineage: Eukaryota; Viridiplantae; Streptophyta; Magnoliopsida; Brassicales; Brassicaceae.